UAGUAAUAUUUUAUUUUAUCUUAUCUUCUCUUUCACACAAGCCUUCCUUGUUAGGGUUUUCCCUUUUCUUUAGCUCUUCUCCUUUUCUCUCGUUGUCUUUUCUGGCUUAUGUCCUCAAAAUUUACACUUCGUUUGUUCCAGCUGAACUAGCUACUUCUUCUCAGUUGGAGCUGUAUGCAAUCGUUGGUGCUUUGAAUUUCAACUUCAAAGAAAACGCCAGAAAUUGAACGGGUGGAAGUGGAGAUUGUUGUAAAAGGAUAAAAAAGAGGAGGUGGUGGAUGAUGAUGAUGGUUCGUGAUGAUUGAUGGGCAGUAGAACAGUGAAUAUUGGUAUAGGAAAUGAUAAGAAAGCUGUAACAGCGAUGCCAAGCUACGUUCCUUCAGUACCCACUUCCAAUCCCAGUUUAGAACAUGUGGUUUUGAUGACUUAUUUCAGCAGCACAGAGGCAAACACCAUUCGUUCUUCUCGAAUACCAGACUUAGGAACCCUUGAGCAAUCUCUUGGAUUUCGCAUUGAGGAUGCUGUUGAUCUUACCAGAAAUCCUCUAUUUAAUCAAAUAAAGUCAAGUACCCAGGCGAUAGCUGAUGCUCAAUUUGGUGCUAUAAAUAAGACACUUGCAUCUGCAGACAACAACCUCUCUGCUGCCAUUGUGGGGUCACAAACAUUAACGCUUAAAAAAGAUACCCCACCUAAUCUUGUAUCCAUAUCAGCUGGUCGGGAGAAUUGGGGGGAUUCCAAUAUGGCAGAUGCCAGUCCUAGAACUGAUAUUUCAACAGAUGACACUGAUGAGAAAAAUCAAAGGUUUGAAAGAGGUCAAACAAAUGCUAUUGUGGCCUCUGAUUCUAGCGACAGAUCAAAAGAUAAAACAGAUCAGAAGACAUUGCGUAGGCUUGCGCAAAAUCGUGAGGCUGCAAGAAAGAGCCGGUUAAGGAAAAAGGCAUAUGUGCAGCAGCUUGAGAGUAGCCGACUGAAACUGACUCAACUUGAGCAAGAGCUGCAGAGAGCUCGUCAGCAGGGCAUAUUUAUUUCAAGCUCAGGAGAUCAAUCCCAUUCAAUGAGUGGAAAUGGUGCCCUGGCAUUUGAUGUUGAGUAUGCACGGUGGCUGGAGGAGCACAAUAGGCAGAUAAAUGAGUUAAGGGCUGCAGUCAAUUCACAUGCUGGUGACACCGAACUUCGCACCAUUGUUGACAACGUCACAGCACAUUUUGAUGACAUUUUCAGGUUGAAAGGCAUUGCUGCAAAAGCUGAUGUUUUCCAUAUCUUAUCAGGAAUGUGGAAAACACCUGCAGAGCGGUGUUUUCUGUGGAUUGGUGGCUUCCGCUCAUCUGAGCUUCUUAAGCUUCUUGCGAAUCAAUUGGAGCCUUUAACUGAGCAACAGUUUAUGGGUUUCCACAACUUGCAGCAAUCAUCCCAACAGGCUGAAGAUGCUUUGUCACAAGGGAUGGAAGCAUUGCAACAAUCUUUGGCUGAGACGUUGGCCAAUGGCUCACCUGGUCCCUCCGGAUCAUCUGGGAAUGUGGCAAAUUAUAUGGGUCAAAUGGCGAUGGCCAUGGGAAAGCUAGGGACCCUUGAGGGGUUCGUUCGUCAGGCUGAUAAUCUGCGUCAGCAAACACUGCAACAAAUGCACCGUAUCUUGACAACUAGGCAAUCAGCUCGUGCCCUUCUUGCAAUAAAUGACUAUUUUUCUAGGCUUCGAGCUCUCAGUUCUCUUUGGCUGGCCCGGCCACGCGAGUGAGAAGUAGAUAUAUCCCGCUGUUUGAAGUUACUCUGAAGGUUGACUGUCAUUUGAUCAAAUUUUAAUGGUGUUCUCCUGGAGCAAUGCUAUUGUUUCAUGUGGGUAAAUUGCUCUUCUUCGACUUUGACAUCCUUGAAGGAUGCAACUAUGGGGCAACUUGGUCACUUCGUUGUAUCUAUAGCUUUAGGGACAUGCUGGAAUUAAACCUACAAAUCUUAGUGGACUCAGUUAUAGGAGGCUUUUAACAAGUGUUUAUGGUUCCCCUCUACACCAAGAAAUGGAAAGCAGAAUGAUACUUAUAUGAUUCGAGGCAAAAACUGAAUGCAUUUCUUUGUCUAGUGUAAUGCUAUUUUGUUCAACAGUCUUAACAAUCCGACAUUUCACAAAUGGUGCGAGGUAAAUUGUGAGUAUUCUGUCGGUCUCUGUCAGACGCCUUGGCAUUUCUCAGUUGGUAAUUUAUAUGUUGACUGGUACUCAAUCGAUAUUUAAUUAAGCGGCAAUAUUUGCCCAUACGCAUGCUUUAAACAACUAA
Theobroma cacao (cacao) is the source of this 2267-nucleotide RNA transcript. It is a transcript of the gene named transcription factor TGA2.3-like, with no coding region annotated. The record is from RefSeq and is a predicted model, not a curated record. NCBI's taxonomy places the organism in Eukaryota, Viridiplantae, Streptophyta, Magnoliopsida, Malvales, Malvaceae.